AGGGGUUUCUUGACACGUAGCAAAAUAGCCUGACUCAUCAUUUGUUCGCUGAAGCUCGUCAUCUCUCGCCAUCAGACCAUAACUCUCUGCCUUUGUUCGCUGACUCUCGCUAACCUUCGCUGAGCGAAUGUUCAUUUGUUGUUCAGCUCGCUGAGGCUCGCUGAUCUUCGCCAAGGACCCUUAACCCACUGGUUUUGUUCGCUCCAGCUCGCUGAGGCUUCGCUGAGCGAAGGCUUCAAAAUCCUGCCUUUUUAUAGCCAUUCCUAACAAAA
Molecule: long non-coding RNA, 272 nt
Filed under: Trifolium pratense (red clover)
Lineage: Eukaryota; Viridiplantae; Streptophyta; Magnoliopsida; Fabales; Fabaceae
Description: long non-coding RNA (TPRA_LNC014380)
Source: RNAcentral